GAGUUUGAUCCUGGCUCAGGAUGAACGCUGGCGGCGUGCUUAACACAUGCAAGUCGAACGAAGCACCUUGGACAGAUUCUUCGGAUGAAGUCCUUAGUGACUGAGUGGCGGACGGGUGAGUAACGCGUGGGUAACCUGCCUCAUACAGGGGGAUAACAGUUAGAAAUGGCUGCUAAUACCGCAUAAGCGCACGGUACUGCAUGGUACAGUGUGAAAAACUCCGGUGGUAUGAGAUGGACCCGCGUUGGAUUAGCUAGUUGGCAGGGUAACGGCCUACCAAGGCGACGAUCCAUAGCCGGCCUGAGAGGGUGGACGGCCACAUUGGGACUGAGACACGGCCCAGACUCCUACGGGAGGCAGCAGUGGGGAAUAUUGCACAAUGGGGGAAACCCUGAUGCAGCGACGCCGCGUGAGCGAAGAAGUAUUUCGGUAUGUAAAGCUCUAUCAGCAGGGAAGAAAAUGACGGUACCUGACUAAGAAGCCCCGGCUAACUACGUGCCAGCCGCCGCGGUAAUUC
RNAcentral lists this ribosomal RNA (517 nucleotides) under uncultured bacterium. RNAcentral's name for it is "bacterial SSU rRNA". It matches the Rfam family "Bacterial small subunit ribosomal RNA", at positions 9 to 526 of the family's 1533-position model. The record is from RNAcentral.